This 387-nucleotide ribosomal RNA is filed under the name uncultured bacterium. RNAcentral's name for it is "bacterial SSU rRNA". It matches the Rfam family "Bacterial small subunit ribosomal RNA", at positions 30 to 417 of the family's 1533-position model. The record is from RNAcentral.
AUUGAACGCUGGCGGCAUGCCUUACACAUGCAAGUCGAACGGUAGCGGGCCUUCGGGUGCCGACGAGUGGCGAACGGGUGAGUAAUGCAUCGGAACGUGCCAUUGAGUGGGGGGAUAACGUAGCGAAAGUUACGCUAAUACCGCAUAUUCUGUGAGCAGGAAAGCAGGGGGACCGCAAGGCCUUGCGCUCUUUGAGCGGCCGAUGUCAGAUUAGCUAGUUGGUGAGGUAAAGGCUUACCAAGGCGACGAUCUGUAGCGGGUCUGAGAGGAUGAUCCGCCACACUGGAACUGAGACACGGUCCAGACUCCUACGGGAGGCAGCAGUGGGGAAUUUUGGACAAUGGGGGCAACCCUGAUCCAGCCAUGCCGCGUGAGUGAAGAAGGCCU